This 377-nucleotide ribosomal RNA is filed under the name uncultured bacterium. Its description in RNAcentral is "bacterial SSU rRNA". It matches the Rfam family "Bacterial small subunit ribosomal RNA", at positions 523 to 898 of the family's 1533-position model. The record is from RNAcentral.
AUACGUAGGUGGCAAGCGUUGUCCGGAAUUAUUGGGCGUAAAGCGCGCGCAGGCGGUCUUUUAAGUCUGAUGUGAAAGCCCCCGGCUCAACCGGGGAGGGUCAUUGGAAACUGGGAGACUUGAGUACAGAAGAGAAGAGUGGAAUUCCACGUGUAGCGGUGAAAUGCGUAGAGGUGUGGAGGAACACCAGUGGCGAAGGCGACUCUUUGGUCUGUAACUGACGCUGAGGCGCGAAAGCGUGGGGAGCGAACAGGAUUAGAUACCCUGGUAGUCCACGCCGUAAACGAUGAGUGCUAAGUGUUAGAGGGUUUCCGCCCUUUAGUGCUGCAGCAAACGCAUUAAGCACUCCGCCUGGGGAGUACGGCCGCAAGGCUGAA